This is a long non-coding RNA of Aotus nancymaae (Ma's night monkey), 1806 nucleotides long. Lineage: Eukaryota; Metazoa; Chordata; Mammalia; Primates; Aotidae. The record is from Ensembl.
CAUAUCUGCAGUUCUUACCUGUGAGCAUAUUAUUACUACUGCUCAGACAGCCUUUAGAAGCAAACCGCCUAAAUGAUGUGGACAGUUGGAAUGUGCCUUUAGCUUCUCUGAUGAAGCAUAGAUGCUGAGAUGAAGUCAGGAGAGGAGAGAAAGCAAAGGUCAGGCCGAGGCCCAGGCUGGAGAUUGGACAAGGGAAGCCUCACAUCACAGUGCAGACAGCAGGUGCACAGCAGGUGCAGAAGACAGCAGGUGUGGAUGUGGCAGAUGCGGACAUGGCAGAUGGAGUCUCGCUCUGUCAUCCAGGCUGGAGUGCAGUGGUGUGAUCUCGGCUCACUGCAACCUCCACCCCCCCAGGUUCAGUGGAGAGAGAUUUCACCAUGUUAGCCAGGAUGCUCUCCAUCUCCUGACCUCGUGAUCCACCCACCUCGGCCUCCAAAAGUGCUGGGAUUGCAGGCACGAGCCACCGCGCCCAGCCUUAAAACUCCUUUCUUUACACUUUACCCAGCCUUGGGCAUUCUUUCAUAGCAAUGUGAAAAUGGACUGGCACAGGCCUUCUGGACACCACAGACAAACCUAAGCCAAACCCAAGCAAGAGCCUGUGGUGGGUGUGAGCCGGGCAGGUGGGGCUGGGGCAGAAGGUGCAGGGUGGGAGCGCGUCCAGGAGGGACAAAGUCAUCCGGCACCCUGGGGUUGCUGUGGCACUGGUGUGCCCAUGGCUUCCUGAGGGCCACUAUGUAGUGACUGUGCACAGCAGCUCGCAGAUGCACCGAGAGUCUGAGGAGAUUUGCACAGGCACCAGGACGCUGUGUCCAAAGUGGUUUCAGAUGACCCUUUUCAGGAAAAUGUCAUUGCAGCAGUUUGCAGCACCCAUGGGUCCAUGUUACACCCCCAACCCAUUUUACAGACCUCACUGAAGGUGAGAGGUGAUCUGAACUAGGAAGUGUGGGUUACAUGAGCAUGUGUGACUGAGUGUGUGUGUAUGUGUGUGUGUGGCUGCAGAGGGAAGUCCAUGCCAAGUGAGCUGGCCUUUAAUGUCAGGAUGCACAGGGUCAGUCUCUCAGCCAUUACCCACCCCACACAGGGUUUGCUGAGAUAGGUGGCUAACCUCACUUAAAAAAUAAAAAAAGGGGAGGUGGCGCCCUGCUCGUGUCAGUUGUUCUCUUUGGUGGUGAUGGUGACCAGAUGCUUGGCGAUGUUGUAUGCACACUGGAUGACCUCCUGUGUGACCAGCUGGACAUCUGUGGGUGAACCUGGGUCCCCCGGGAGGGUCUUCUUGCACUCUGACUGCAGUCGGUAGGCACUGGAUGUCAGCGAAUGAAGGGAAGUCCUCAUCAUAUCAGACUUGGGUUUUUUGGGGAAUAAUGCCGCUAUUUCUGUAACAGCUAUGUGUAUCCUCUCUGAGCAGGGAAUAUACCUCAUUAUCCUCUUUAAUUCUCAAUAAGAGACUCAAAUGUUUCCCAGCAAUCUUAAAAAUACAAAGUGCAGUUCUUUUAGUGGACCAGCCUUGCUAACAUGGUGAAACCUCGUCUGUACUAAAAGAGAAUAAUAAUGAAAAAUUAGCUGGGUGUUAGUGGCAUGCACCUGUAAUCCCAGCUACUCAGGAGGCAGAGACAGGAGAACUGCUUGAGCCUGGGAGGCAGAAGUUGCAGUUAGCCAACAUCAUGCCAUUGCACUCCAGUCUGGGCGACAGAGUGAGACCCUGCCUCAAAAAAACAAAAACAAAAAUGUUUAUAUGUGAAUUUGUGUCAGAUCAAAAUNNNNNNNNNNNNNNNNNNNNNNNNNUGAGCUGUGAUCGUGCCACUGCAC